Molecule: ribosomal RNA, 465 nt
Filed under: Vreelandella stevensii
Lineage: Bacteria; Pseudomonadati; Pseudomonadota; Gammaproteobacteria; Oceanospirillales; Halomonadaceae
Description: partial 16S ribosomal RNA
Rfam family: Bacterial small subunit ribosomal RNA
Source: RNAcentral
CCUACGGGGGGCAGCAGUGGGGAAUAUUGGACAAUGGGGGCAACCCUGAUCCAGCCAUGCCGCGUGUGUGAAGAAGGCCCGCGGGUUGUAAAGCACUUUCAGUGAGGAAGAACGCCUGGUGGUUAAUACCCAUCAGGAAAGACAUCACUCACAGAAGAAGCACCGGCUAACUCCGUGCCAGCAGCCGCGGUAAUACGGAGGGUGCGAGCGUUAAUCGGAAUUACUGGGCGUAAAGCGCGCGUAGGUGGCUUGAUAAGCCGGUUGUGAAAGCCCCGGGCUCAACCUGGGAACGGCAUCCGGAACUGUCAAGCUAGAGUGCAGGAGAGGAAGGUAGAAUUCCCGGUGUAGCGGUGAAAUGCGUAGAGAUCGGGAGGAAUACCAGUGGCGAAGGCGGCCUUCUGGACUGACACUGACACUGAGGUGCGAAAGCGUGGGUAGCAAACAGGAUUAGAUACCCGAGUAGUC